UGCUUUUAUAGGGGAAUAAAGUGAGCCACGUGUGGUUUUUUGCAUGUACCCUAUGAAUAAGGACCGGCUAAUUCCGUGCCAGCAGCCGCGGUAAUACGGAAGGUCCGGGCGUUAUCCGGAUUUAUUGGGUUUAAAGGGAGCGUAGGCCGGAGAUUAAGCGUGUUGUGAAAUGUAGAUGCUCAACAUCUGAACUGCAGCGCGAACUGGUUUCCUUGAGUACGCAUAAAGUGGGCGGAAUUCGUGGUGUAGCGGUGAAAUGCUUAGAUAUCACGAAGAACUCCGAUUGCGAAGGCAGCUCACUGGGGCGCAACUGACGCUGAAGCUCUGAAAGCGCGGGUAUCGAACAGGAUUAGAUACCCUGGUAGUCCGCGCGGUAAACGAGGGAUGCCAGCUGUUGGGCCAACUGGUUCAGCGGCCAAGCGAAAGCAUUAAGCAUCCCACCUGGGGAGUACGCCGGCAACGGUGCAACUCAAAGGA
This 477-nucleotide ribosomal RNA is filed under the name uncultured organism. RNAcentral describes it as "bacterial SSU rRNA". It matches the Rfam family "Bacterial small subunit ribosomal RNA", at positions 431 to 908 of the family's 1533-position model. The record is from RNAcentral.